AGAAUUGUCUCCAGUGCAAAUGAUCCUUUGUCAUCCCACUCCCUGAGAACACGCCAGUGUAGCUCUUGGAGGUGGGCUGCAUCAGCUUUCUUCCAGUCUGCAAUAACGACAUGAUAAAACUUAGCCGCACGUUUGAAAUCAAUGAUACAGUAUUUGAUGAUCAAGACAACAGGAACAGGAAUAUGGUGCAGUUUAUCAGGGCUCUGUACACUGCUCCGCAAAGACAGCUGGCCAACAUGUUUUCCAACUAUCUCUGCCCAUCAUCCACCUGCUCUGUGUUCAGUCAGAGCUGCAAAUGACCAUUUCUGAAUUGUCUCCAGUGCAAAUGAUCCUUUGUCAUCCCACUCCCUGAGAACACGCCAGUGUAGGUAAGAUGGAUGAUGUGGCAUCGAAUGUUAUGUUUAGUCUGUGUUUAACAGUGUAAAUAAUGUGUUUGAGGGUCGUAUAUGUAUGUUUAUAUGGAUAAAACAACCGCAUCAGCGUACUCGUGGCAGAAAUACAGUCGGGCUCGCGCAAGUGAAGGCCGCCAACGCCUGUCAAUGGAGAUCGAGGUGACAGAGGCCGCGCUAAUUAUAUCAAUAUAAUAUACAUAUAAAUAUGAUAUACAUAUAGAUUAACAUAACGUUUAUUUAGUGGGAGUUUACAGUUUGAUACAGUCCUGUGGGUUAAUUCAGUUUCAUAAUGUAAUGUCAAAUGUUAGAAAGUAUUUAAAUAAUAAGAGUAAUUUAAUACUGAAUAGUUAGUUACUGUAUUUAUUGUUUAUGCAGUAAGAGUUUAAUAACUACUAUUGAUCUGUGGUAAUGUACAUUGUUUUGUGGAGAAAUACAGUGACUUAUAGUGUCUGUUCAUUGCCAUUGUAUAUUUUUGUGUUUGAGUAUUUCUGUGUUUAUUGAUCACACAUUCAUGGUCACACUGCCAGCACUGAAACACUGUUCAGUCUCUUUUUAUUGUCUGUGUUUG
Danio aesculapii is the source of this 960-nucleotide long non-coding RNA. RefSeq lists it as uncharacterized. The record is from RefSeq and is a predicted model, not a curated record. NCBI's taxonomy places the organism in Eukaryota, Metazoa, Chordata, Actinopteri, Cypriniformes, Danionidae. The transcript has 5 exons.